RNAcentral lists this ribosomal RNA (492 nucleotides) under uncultured bacterium. RNAcentral's name for it is "partial 16S ribosomal RNA". It matches the Rfam family "Bacterial small subunit ribosomal RNA", at positions 29 to 507 of the family's 1533-position model. The record is from RNAcentral.
AGUGAACGCUGGCGGUAGGCCUAACACAUGCAAGUCGAACGGCAGCACAGUAAGAGCUUGCUCUUACGGGUGGCGAGUGGCGGACGGGUGAGGAAUACAUCGGAAUCUACUUUUUCGUGGGGGAUAACGUAGGGAAACUUACGCUAAUACCGCAUACGACCUCCGGGUGAAAGCAGGGGAUCUUCGGACCUUGCGCGAUUGAAUGGGCCGAUGUCGGAUUAGCUAGUUGGCGGGGUAAAGGCCCACCAAGGCGACGAUCCGUAGCUGGUCUGAGAGGAUGAUCAGCCACACUGGAACUGAGACACGGUCCAGACUCCUACGGGAGGCAGCAGUGGGGAAUAUUGGACAAUGGGCGCAAGCCUGAUCCAGCCAUACCGCGUGGGUGAAGAAGGCCUUCGGGUUGUAAAGCCCUUUUGUUGGGAAAGAAAAGCAGCAGGUUAAUACCCCGCUGUUCUGACGGUACCCAAAGAAUAAGCACCGGCUAACUUCGUG